AUUGAACGCUGGCGGCAGGCCUAACACAUGCAAGUCGAACGAGUGGCGGACGGGUGAGUAAUGUCUGGGAAACUGCCCGAUGGAGGGGGAUAACUACUGGAAACGGUAGCUAAUACCGCAUACCAUCAGAUGUGCCCAGAUGGGAUUAGCUAUUUGGUGGGGUAACGGCUCACCAAGGCGACGAUCCCUAGCUGGUCUGAGAGGAUGACCAGCCAAACAGGACCUGAGACACGGUCCAGACUCAUACGGGCAGGAGCAUUGGGGAGUAUUGCCCAGUGGGCGCAAGCCUAAUGCAGCCAUGCCGCGAGUAUGAAUAAGGCCUUCUGGUUUUAAAGUACUUUCAGCGGGGAGGCGUUACCCGCAGAAGAAGCACCGGCUAACUCAGUGCCAGCAGCCGCGGUAAUAC
RNAcentral lists this ribosomal RNA (406 nucleotides) under uncultured bacterium. Its description in RNAcentral is "partial 16S ribosomal RNA". It matches the Rfam family "Bacterial small subunit ribosomal RNA", at positions 30 to 526 of the family's 1533-position model. The record is from RNAcentral.